UACGUAGGGUCCGAGCGUUGUCCGGAGUUACUGGGCGUAAAGCGCGCGCAGGCGGCCGUUCAAGUCUGGCGUGAAAGCCCCCGGCUCAACCGGGGAGGGUCGUCGGAGACUGGGCGGCUUGAGAGUGGCAGGGGCUGGUGGAAUUCCCGGUGUAGUGGUGAAAUGCGUAGAGAUCGGGAGGAACACCCGUGGCGAAGGCGGCCAGCUGGGCCACCUCUGACGCUGAGGCGCGAAGGCGUGGGGAGCGAACGGG
This 253-nucleotide ribosomal RNA is filed under the name uncultured bacterium. RNAcentral describes it as "partial 16S ribosomal RNA". It matches the Rfam family "Bacterial small subunit ribosomal RNA", at positions 524 to 776 of the family's 1533-position model. The record is from RNAcentral.